RNAcentral lists this ribosomal RNA (492 nucleotides) under uncultured bacterium. RNAcentral's name for it is "partial 16S ribosomal RNA". It matches the Rfam family "Bacterial small subunit ribosomal RNA", at positions 29 to 507 of the family's 1533-position model. The record is from RNAcentral.
AGUGAACGCUGGCGGUAGGCCUAACACAUGCAAGUCGAACGGCAGCACAGUAAGAGCUUGCUCUUACGGGUGGCGAGUGGCGGACGGGUGAGGAAUACAUCGGAAUCUACUUUUUCGGGGGGGAUAACGUAGGGAAACUUACGCUAAUACCGCAUACGACCUACGGGUGAAAGCAGGGGAUCUUCGGACCUUGCGCGAUUGAAUGAGCCGAUGUCGGAUUAGCUAGUUGGCGGGGUAAAGGCCCACCAAGGCGACGAUCCGUAGCUGGUCUAAGAGGAUGAUCAGCCACACUGGAACUGAGACACGGUCCAGACUCCUACGGGAGGCAGCAGUGGGGAAUAUUGGACAAUGGGCGCAAGCCUGAUCCAGCCAUACCGCGUGGGUGAAGAAGGCCUUCGGGUUGUAAAGCCCUUUUGUUGGGAAAGAAAAGCAGCAGGUUAAUACCCCGCUGUUCUGACGGUACCCAAAGAAUAAGCACCGGCUAACUUCGUG